AAAAAGUUAGGUUAAAAAACCCUUAGCCUUCAAAGCUUAAAAUAUAAAUAAAAUUUUAUACUUUUUA
Molecule: transfer RNA, 67 nt
Filed under: Peniagone sp. YYH-2013
Lineage: Eukaryota; Metazoa; Echinodermata; Holothuroidea; Elasipodida; Elpidiidae
Description: tRNA-Trp
Rfam family: tRNA
About the family: Transfer RNA (tRNA) molecules are approximately 80 nucleotides in length. Their secondary structure includes four short double-helical elements and three loops (D, anti-codon, and T loops).
Source: RNAcentral